AUUGAACGCUGGCGGCAUGCCUUACACAUGCAAGUCGAACGGCAGCACGGGAGCAAUCCUGGUGGCGAGUGGCGAACGGGUGAGUAAUAUAUCGGAACGUGCCCAGUCGUGGGGGAUAACGUAGCGAAAGCUACGCUAAUACCGCAUACGAUCUACGGAUGAAAGCGGGGGAUCGCAAGACCUCGCGCGAUUGGAGCGGCCGAUAUCAGAUUAGCUAGUUGGUGGGGUAAAAGCUCACCAAGGCGACGAUCUGUAGCUGGUCUGAGAGGACGACCAGCCACACUGGAACUGAGACACGGUCCAGACUCCUACGGGAGGCAGCAGUGGGGAAUUUUGGACAAUGGGCGCAAGCCUGAUCCAGCAAUGCCGCGUGCAGGAUGAAGGCCUUCGGUUGUAACGUAGCUUUGUUACGGAACGAAACGGUAGAGCUCUAAUAAAGUACUUGCUAAUGACGGUACCGUAAGAAUAAGACACCGCUACUACGU
RNAcentral lists this ribosomal RNA (485 nucleotides) under uncultured bacterium. RNAcentral describes it as "bacterial SSU rRNA". It matches the Rfam family "Bacterial small subunit ribosomal RNA", at positions 30 to 506 of the family's 1533-position model. The record is from RNAcentral.